CCUACUGGUGGCUGCAGUGAGGAAUAUUGGUCAAUGGGCGCGAGCCUGAACCAGCCAAGUAGCGUGAAGGAUGACUGCCCUACGGGUUGUAAACUUCUUUUAUAAAGGAAUAAAGUGAGGCACGUGUGCCUUUUUGUAUGUACUUUAUGAAUAAGGAUCGGCUAACUCCGUGCCAGCAGCCGCGGUACUACGGAGGAUCCGAGCGUUAUCCGGAUUUAUUGGGUUUAAAGGGAGCGUAGAUGGGUUGUUAAGUCAGUUGUGAAAGUUUGCGGCUCAACCGUAAAAUUGCAAUUGAUACUGGCAGCCUUGAGUACAGUUGGGGUAGGCGGAAUUCGUGGUGUAGCGGUGAAAUGCUUAGAGAUCACGAAGAACCCCGAUUGCGAAGGCAGCUUAAUAAACUGUGACUGACAUUGAUGCUCGAAAGUGUGGGUAUCAAACAGGAUUAGAUACCCUGGUAGUC
This 460-nucleotide ribosomal RNA is filed under the name uncultured bacterium. Its description in RNAcentral is "partial 16S ribosomal RNA". It matches the Rfam family "Bacterial small subunit ribosomal RNA", at positions 338 to 795 of the family's 1533-position model. The record is from RNAcentral.